AACAUGGUUCUCUUAUCAAUUAGUUUUCAUUGUCAUGCUCUCUUUGUUGGUAACUAACACAAAUAAUUUGCAAUUCAUAUGACUACGUUUCAGUUGCCAAAUGUUGAAAAAAUGAAUGGGAAAUCCAUAACCCAAUGAAUUCCUAAUAGAUUUCCAUUUUUUAUCAGUCUUUCUAAAACCAUUUCUAUCUUGGUUCAGCUAAAGAUCAAUAAUAUAUUUCAAGACAUAGUGCUGUGUAGCGUGUAAAUCUACAUGCUGAUGCAUUACAGGAUAUUAAUUAUAAUCGGAGCA
RNAcentral lists this unclassified non-coding RNA (291 nucleotides) under Hevea brasiliensis (rubber tree). The record is from RNAcentral. Lineage: Eukaryota; Viridiplantae; Streptophyta; Magnoliopsida; Malpighiales; Euphorbiaceae.